UUUCAUGCUGCCCUCUUGGCCAGAUCUCUCUUGAAAAACAGUUUAUCACAAUAAGACGUUCACAUGAUUUAGUAAAUGUUUAAGGAAAGAUUUUCUUGACUUAAAAAGCUGAAGAUGUAAAUACUACACAGCAUCCUGAGUUUCUGUUAAUCAACAUGAGGAUGAUUCAAACAGCCAGCUGUCCCAGCACUGAGGAGGAAACACCAUGAUAUGUUGAGGACAGCUACAGUUCACUGACUCUGUGUGUUUGCAUAUCUGUCCUGCCUCUCUGCUCCCAGCCGUUAAGAGGCCAGUGUUGAUCAGUGGCUGUCCAGGCCUUUCAGAGCCACUGACACGCCGGCAGCACAAUGAUGAUGUCACUGAUUCUACUGCUGGCCACCCUGGGGCUCCUUGUUCAGGGUUCAUCAGGACAAAUCGUCCUGACUCAGUCUCCUGGAUCUCAGUCUGUUGUUCCAGGACAGACUGUCUCUCUCAGAUGUAAAACCAGUACAAGUGUUAGUAGCUACCUCAGCUGGUACCUUCAGAAACCUGGAGAAGCUCCUAAACUCCUGAUUUAUACAGCUUCAACCCGUCACUCUGGAGUUCCAGGUCGUUUUAGUGGAAGUGGAUCUGGGACUGACUUCACUCUGACCAUCAGUGGAGUUCAGGCUGAAGAUUCAGGAGUUUACUACUGUCAGCAGGGUUACAGCAGACCGUUCACACAGUGAUACAACGUCGUACAAAAACCUCCCUCAGCUGG
Siniperca chuatsi (mandarin fish) is the source of this 739-nucleotide non-coding RNA. The record is from the annotation of a RefSeq genome assembly. NCBI's taxonomy places the organism in Eukaryota, Metazoa, Chordata, Actinopteri, Centrarchiformes, Sinipercidae.